GACGAACGCUGGCGGCGUGCUUAACACAUGCAAGUCGAACGGGUCUGCCCUGUUUUUUGCGGGGUGGGUCAGUGGCGAACGGGUGAGUAACACGUGAGUAACCUGCCCCUCACUUCUGGAUAACCGCUUGAAAGGGUGGCUAAUACGGGGUGUUCUGGCUGUGCCGCAUGGUGUGGCUGGGAAAGAUUCACUUUUGUGGUGUUUUGGUGGGGGAUGGGCUCGCGGCCUAUCAGCUUGUUGGUGGGGUGAUGGCCGGCCAAGGCUUUGACGGGUAGCCGGCCUGGGAGGGUGGGCGGUCACACGGGGACUGAGAUACGGCCCAGACUCCUGCGGGAGGCAGCAGUGGGGGGUAUUGCACAAUGGGCGGAAGCCUGAUGCAGCGACGCCGCGUGCGGGAUGGAGGCCUUCGGGUUGUGAACCUCUUUCGCCGGUGAAGAAGGUCCUGCUCUUUGUGGUGGGGUUGACGGUAGCCGGGUUAUGAAGCGCCGGCUAACUACGUG
This 500-nucleotide ribosomal RNA is filed under the name uncultured bacterium. RNAcentral describes it as "partial 16S ribosomal RNA". It matches the Rfam family "Bacterial small subunit ribosomal RNA", at positions 28 to 507 of the family's 1533-position model. The record is from RNAcentral.